RNAcentral lists this ribosomal RNA (468 nucleotides) under uncultured bacterium. RNAcentral describes it as "partial 16S ribosomal RNA". It matches the Rfam family "Bacterial small subunit ribosomal RNA", at positions 28 to 507 of the family's 1533-position model. The record is from RNAcentral.
GACGAACGCUGGCGGCGUGCUUAACACAUGCAAGUCGAACGGAAAGGCCCUGCUUUUGUGGGGUGCUCGAGUGGCGAACGGGUGAGUAACACGUGAGUAACCUGCCCUUGACUUUGGGAUAACUUCAGGAAACUGGGGCUAAUACCGGAUAGGAGCUCCUGCUGCAUGGUGGGGGUUGGAAAGUUUCGGCGGUUGGGGAUGGACUCGCGGCUUAUCAGCUUGUUGGUGGGGUAGUGGCUUACCAAGGCUUUGACGGGUAGCCGGCCUGAGAGGGUGACCGGCCACAUUGGGACUGAGAUACGGCCCAGACUCCUACGGGAGGCAGCAGUGGGCAAUAUUGCACAAUGGGCGGAAGCCUGAUGCAGCAACGCCGCGUGCGUGAUGACGGCCUUCGGGUUGUAAACCGCUUUCGCCUGUGACGAAGCGUGAGUGACGGUAAUGGGUAAAGAAGCACCGGCUAACUACGUG